UACGUAGGGGGCUAGCGUUGUCCGGAUUUAUUGGGCGUAAAGCGCGUGUAGGCGGCCAGAUAGGUCCGUUGUGAAAACUCGAGGCUCAACCUCGAGACGCCGGUGGAAACCAUCAGACUAGAGUCCGGAAGAGGAGAGUGGAAUUCCUGGUGUAGCGGUGAAAUGCGCAGAUAUCAGGAAGAACACCCGUGGCUAAGGCGGCUCUCUAGUACGGUACUGACGCUGAGACGCGAAAGCGUGGGGAGCGAACAGG
This 253-nucleotide ribosomal RNA is filed under the name uncultured bacterium. Its description in RNAcentral is "partial 16S ribosomal RNA". It matches the Rfam family "Bacterial small subunit ribosomal RNA", at positions 524 to 776 of the family's 1533-position model. The record is from RNAcentral.